UUUAGGNGGGCCCCCWWAGAAUACUCAAGCUAUGCAUCCAACGCGUUGGGAGCUCUCCCAUAUGGUCGACCUGCAGGCGGCCGCACUAGUGAUUACGGGGAGCAGCAGGCGCGAAACCUUUACACUGCACGCCAGUGCGAUAAGGGGACCCCGAGUGCGAGGGCAUACAGUCCUCGCUUUUCGUGACCGUAAGGUGGUCACAGAAUAAGAGCUGGGCAAGACCGGUGCCAGCCGCCGCGGUAAUACCGGCAGCUCGAGUGAUAGCCACUAUUAUUGGGCCUAAAGCGUCCGUAGCCGGCCGAACAGGUCCGUCGGGAAAUCCACCCGCUCAACGGGUGGACGUCCGGCGGAAACCAGUCGGCUUGGGGCCGGGAGACCAGAGAGGUACGUCCGGGGUAGGAGUGAAAUCCUGUAAUCCUGGACGGACCGCCGGUAGCGAAAGCGUCUCUGGAGAACGGACCCGACGGUGAGGGACGAAAGCUUGGGUCUCGAACCGGAUUAGAUACCCGGGUAGUCCAAGCCGUAAACGAUGCUCGCUAGGUGUGGCGUUGGCUACGAGCCAGCGCUGUGCCGUAGGGAAGCCGAGAAGCGAGCCGCCUGGGAAGUACGUCCGCAAGGAUGAAACUUAAAGGAAUUGGCGGGGGAGCACAAUCCCGCGGCCAUGGCGGCCGGGAGCAUGCGACGUCGGC
This 689-nucleotide ribosomal RNA is filed under the name uncultured Halobacterium sp. RNAcentral describes it as "bacterial SSU rRNA". It matches the Rfam family "Archaeal small subunit ribosomal RNA", at positions 277 to 922 of the family's 1478-position model. Lineage: Archaea; Methanobacteriati; Methanobacteriota; Halobacteria; Halobacteriales; Halobacteriaceae. The record is from RNAcentral.